Molecule: ribosomal RNA, 434 nt
Filed under: uncultured eukaryote
Lineage: Eukaryota
Description: SSU rRNA
Rfam family: Eukaryotic small subunit ribosomal RNA
Source: RNAcentral
GCACCCGCGGUAAUUCCAGCUCCAAUAGCGUAUAUUAAAGUUGUUGCAGUUAAAAAGCUCGUAGUCGAAUGAAGGUUUCUUGUAUAGCGCGGACGUCUAGGUGUAACUUAGAUUAGUUUGCGCACAAGAACCUCCCUUGUGUGUCUCAGAGGAGCAAAUAUUUAUUUAUUUUGAUCCAUUUGCGACACACACAUUACUGUGAACAAAAUAGAGUGUUCAUGGCAGGUCAAUUUAGGCUUGAAUACCUCAGCAUGGAAUAAUAGAAUAGGACUUCCGGUUCUAUUUUGUUGGUUUUUGGAGCCGAAGUAAUGAUUAAUAGGGAUAGUUGGGGGCACUCGUACUCCGUUGUCAGGGGUGAAAUUCUAGGAUUGACGGAAGACGAACAACUGCGAAAGCAUCUGCCAAGGAUGUUUUCAUCGAUCAAGAACGAAAGU